Molecule: long non-coding RNA, 790 nt
Organism: Oncorhynchus tshawytscha (Chinook salmon)
Lineage: Eukaryota; Metazoa; Chordata; Actinopteri; Salmoniformes; Salmonidae
Source: Ensembl
GAGAGACCCAAACAGACAGACUGACAGCAGGUAGAGAGACCCAAACAGACAGACUGACAGUAGGUAGAGAGACCCAAACAGACAGACUGACAGUAGGUAGAGACCCAAACAGACAGAAAGAGACUGACUUGGUCAUCCACUGUAUCUUCAGGUCUCUGAGAGCCUCUUCAAACUCCUCCUUCACAUCCUUCUCCUUCGCUCCCUCCUUCGCAUCCUCCUUCGCUCCCUCUUUCUCCUUCGCUCCCUCCUUCACCCCCUCCUUCGCUCCCUCCUUCGCUCCCUCCUUCGCUCCAUUCUUGGUCUUGUUGGGUGCAGGGAUCAGGUGAUAGACCACUGGCACAAUGUCCUUGAUGAGAAAGAUAAAACCACUGGUUAACACACUGACACCCUCUAGGACUACAUUACCCAUAAGCCUCUACAACACUUCCCCCCUGCUGUCUGUCCAAUCCCUUGUCAGUUAGAAUGCGUUGUCAUGGUGACAGAACACAGCUGUGCUGCUACAUUGACCACCAGAGGAAAUGAACCUUGUCUAACUUUGCCAGUAGAAAUAUAGUUACAUGUUGGGGCAAAUAUCUUCAUUCUUCCCCACAGUGAUUCACAACAUAAAACACCAUUUUCCUUUUGAGGAUUUGACAGAGUGAUUUCUAGGUCAUCAGUACCUUUUUAAAUUUUCCUUGUCGUUUUGCAGAGGCCUGUCCCUGGUGGUCAGAAUAACACACAGUGAGAGAGAGAACACAGGAAGGAGCAUACAGCCUCUCUUUCAUCGUUUACAACUAGUGACAAGUCAUAC